Molecule: transfer RNA, 89 nt
Filed under: bacterium
Lineage: Bacteria
Also listed under: 3 other names
Description: tRNA-Ser
Rfam family: tRNA
About the family: Transfer RNA (tRNA) molecules are approximately 80 nucleotides in length. Their secondary structure includes four short double-helical elements and three loops (D, anti-codon, and T loops).
Source: RNAcentral
GGAGAGGUAGCGCAGUUGGCCUAACGCGCCCGCUUGGAAAGCGGGUAUACCGCAAGGUAUCGUGGGUUCGAAUCCCACUCUCUCCGCCA